Molecule: ribosomal RNA, 866 nt
Filed under: Crocosphaera watsonii WH 8501
Lineage: Bacteria; Bacillati; Cyanobacteriota; Cyanophyceae; Chroococcales; Aphanothecaceae
Description: Bacterial small subunit ribosomal RNA
Rfam family: Bacterial small subunit ribosomal RNA
Source: Rfam by way of RNAcentral
ACCAUGGAGAGUUUGAUCCUGGCUCAGGAUGAACGCUGGCGGUAUGCCUAACACAUGCAAGUCGAACGAAGUCUUCGGACUUAGUGGCGGACGGGUGAGUAACGCGUGAGAAUCUGCCUUGAGGAUGGGGACAACAGUUGGAAACGACUGCUAAUACCCGAUGUGCCGGAAGGUGAAAAUUUUUUGCCUCAAGAGGAGCUCGCGUCUGAUUAGCUAGUUGGUGGGGUAAAAGCUUACCAAGGCGACGAUCAGUAGCUGGUCUGAGAGGAUGAGCAGCCACACUGGGACUGAGACACGGCCCAGACUCCUACGGGAGGCAGCAGUGGGGAAUUUUCCGCAAUGGGCGAAAGCCUGACGGAGCAAUACCGCGUGAGGGAGGAAGGCCUUUGGGUUGUAAACCUCUUUUCUCAGGGAAGAAGAUCUGACGGUACCUGAGGAAUAAGCAUCGGCUAACUCCGUGCCAGCAGCCGCGGUAAUACGGAGGAUGCAAGCGUUAUCCGGAAUUAUUGGGCGUAAAGCGUCCGCAGGUGGUCUUUCAAGUCUGCUGUCAAAGACCAGAGCUUAACUCUGGGCAGGCGGUGGGAACUGAGAGACUAGAGUUCGGGAAGGGGUAGCGGGAAUCCCCAGUGUAGCGGUGAAAAUGCGUAGAUCUUGGGAAAGAACAUCGUUGGCGAAAGGCUGCUACUGGAACCAAAAUUGACCUCAGGGAACAAAACCUUGGGUAACCAAAGGGAAAUAAAAACCCCCCGAAAGCCCCAACUGGAAAACGAAUGGAAACUAAGGGUGUGGGUUGUAUUCCACCCCGAAGCCGGGCCCAUAAACCCAAGCGCGUUAAAAUUUCCCGCCCUGGGGGAAACACCCCCCCC